AUGGCCAUCGCCAUCGCCUCCGCCCUACGCCGCGCCCCCAGGGCGGCGGCGGCCACGCGCGCCCUUCUCGCCGCCCUGGGCAGCCCACGCGGCGGACGCGUCGGUCCUCCCCACCAUCGCGCGGCGCCCAUCGCUCCUCUCUCCUCCCUCUCCGCCCCGCAGCCGAGCGCCGUCGCCGACGCCCAGCUCCUCCGGGUCAUAACCUACGAGAUCUCCCGCGCCCAGCUCGACUGCAGGAACCGCAACUGGGCGAAGGUAUUAGGGGAAGGCUUCCCCUUCGAGAUCAGAGACAAGGAGGGCACCAACAGGAUAACGCUCACGAGGACCCAUCAGGACGAGCGGAUCGAGGUGGAGGCGCUCCUGCCCAGCCCCGUCGACGGAGCUGCGCAAGACGACGGCGAGCAGGAGGAGGAUGACCAAGCUGAUGAAGACGGCAAGAAACAGGGCCACGCCGGCGGCGAUGUCCCAAAUAAGUACUGCAUCCCACUCAUUGUGAGGAUUCGCAAAGGAGUAGGGGCGGCUUCAUGCUUGGAGAUCGGCUGCUGCUCCUACCCAACGGGGUUCGUCGUCGAGAGGUUGGAGUUUGAAUCUGCUGGUGGUCGUGGAAGUGGAACUGCUUUCAGUGAUAUUCCUGGGGAGCUUCAGAAGGCUUUGCAACUCUACUUGGGAAGUAGGGGCAUCUCGACGCAUUUUACUGACUUCAUGCAUGCUUACAUGAUAACCAAGGAGUGCCAUGAGUAUUUGUCCUGGUUGAGAAAACUCAAAGGUCUGGUAAAAGGUUGA
RNAcentral lists this ribosomal RNA (783 nucleotides) under Triticum aestivum (bread wheat). Its description in RNAcentral is "partial small subunit ribosomal RNA". The record is from RNAcentral. Lineage: Eukaryota; Viridiplantae; Streptophyta; Magnoliopsida; Poales; Poaceae.